GGCGGGGGCAGGCCUACCAUGCAAGUCGAGCGGAUGAAGGGAGCUUGCUCCUGGAUUCAGCGGCGGACGGGUGAGUAAUGCCUAGGAAUCUGCCUGGUAGUGGGGGAUAACGUCCGGAAACGGGCGCUAAUACCGCAUACGUCCUGAGGGAGAAAGUGGGGGAUCUUCGGACCUCACGCUAUCAGAUGAGCCUAGGUCGGAUUAGCUAGUUGGUGGGGUAAAGGCCUACCAAGGCGACGAUCCGUAACUGGUCUGAGAGGAUGAUCAGUCACACUGGAACUGAGACACGGUCCAGACUCCUACGGGAGGCAGCAGUGGGGAAUAUUGGACAAUGGGCGAAAGCCUGAUCCAGCCAUGCCGCGUGUGUGAAGAAGGUCUUCGGAUUGUAAAGCACUUUAAGUUGGGAGGAAGGGCAGUAAGUUAAUACCUUGCUGUUUUGACGUUACCAACAGAAUAAGCACCGGCUAACUUCGUGCCAGCAGCCGCGGUAAUACGAAGGGUGCAAGCGUUAAUCGGAAUUACUGGGCGUAAAGCGCGCGUAGGUGGUUCAGCAAGUUGGAUGUGAAAUCCCCGGGCUCAACCUGGGAACUGCAUCCAAAACUACUGAGCUAGAGUACGGUAGAGGGUGGUGGAAUUUCCUGUGUAGCGGUGAAAUGCGUAGAUAUAGGAAGGAACACCAGUGGCGAAGGCGACCACCUGGACUGAUACUGACACUGAGGUGCGAAAGCGUGGGGAGCAAACAGGAUUAGAUACCCUGGUAGUCCACGCCGUAAACGAUGUCGACUAGCCGUUGGGAUCCUUGAGAUCUUAGUGGCGCAGCUAACGCGAUAAGUCGACCGCCUGGGGAGUACGGCCGCAAGGUUAAAACUCAAAUGAAUUGACGGGGGCCCGCACAAGCGUGGAGCAUGUGGUUUAAUUCGAACCACGCGAAGAACCUUACCUGGCCUUGACUGCUGAAACUUUCCAAAAUGGAUUGGUGCUUCGGAA
This 987-nucleotide ribosomal RNA is filed under the name Pseudomonas aeruginosa. RNAcentral describes it as "bacterial SSU rRNA". It matches the Rfam family "Bacterial small subunit ribosomal RNA", at positions 35 to 1024 of the family's 1533-position model. The record is from RNAcentral. Lineage: Bacteria; Pseudomonadati; Pseudomonadota; Gammaproteobacteria; Pseudomonadales; Pseudomonadaceae.